UAGUUGGUAGGGUAGCGGCCUACCAAGGCAACGAUCAGUAGCCGGCCUGAGAGGGUGGACGGCCACACUGGGACUGAGAACGGCCCAGACUCCUACGGGAGGCAGCAGUGGGGAAUAUUGCGCAAUGGGGGAAACCCUGACGCAGCGACGCCGCGUGAGCGAAGAAGGCCUUCGGGUUGUAAAGCUCUGUUGUAAGGGACGAAAGAUCAAGGGAAUAACUGCCCUUGAAGUGACGGUACCUUACCAGCAAGCCCCGGCUAACUACGUGCCAGCAGCCGCGGUAAGACGUAGGGGGCGAGCGUUGUCCGGAAUUACUGGGCGUAAAGAGCACGUAGGCGGAUGUAUAAGUCAGGUGUGAAAGACCGCAGCCUAACUGCGGGGUUGCACUUGAAACUGUAUAUCUUGAGGGCAGGAGAGGUUAGUAGAAUUCCUGGUGUAGCGGUGAAAUGCGUAGAAAUCAGGAGGAAUACCAGUGGCGAAGGCGACUGACUGGACUGACCCUGACGCUGAGGUGCGAAAGCGUGGGUAGCAAACAGGAUUAGAUACCCUGGUAGUCCACGCCGUAAACGAUGGAUACUAGGUGUGGGAGGUAUCGACCCCUUCCGUGCCGCAGCUAACGCAAUAA
Molecule: ribosomal RNA, 625 nt
Filed under: uncultured bacterium
Lineage: Bacteria
Description: bacterial SSU rRNA
Rfam family: Bacterial small subunit ribosomal RNA
Source: RNAcentral